CAGCGCCACGAGUGGCAAUCACUUUUAUUGGGCCUAAAGCGUCCGUAGCCGGUUUGAUAAAUCUUUUGUGAAAUCGUUGAGCUCAACUUAACGGCAUGCAGAAGACACUGUUAAACUAGGAACCGGAAGGAGUCAGAAGUAUUGCUGGGGGAGCGGUAAAAUGUUAUAAUCCCAGCAAGACUACCUGUGGCGAAGGCGUCUGACUAGUACGGCUUCGACGGUGAGGGACGAAAGCCAGGGGAGCAAAACGGAUUAGAUACCCGAGUAGUCC
This 271-nucleotide ribosomal RNA is filed under the name uncultured archaeon. RNAcentral describes it as "partial 16S ribosomal RNA". It matches the Rfam family "Archaeal small subunit ribosomal RNA", at positions 477 to 747 of the family's 1478-position model. The record is from RNAcentral.